This 72-nucleotide transfer RNA is filed under the name Pseudomonadota bacterium. RNAcentral describes it as "tRNA-Thr". It matches the Rfam family "tRNA". Rfam says of the family: Transfer RNA (tRNA) molecules are approximately 80 nucleotides in length. Their secondary structure includes four short double-helical elements and three loops (D, anti-codon, and T loops). The record is from RNAcentral. Lineage: Bacteria; Pseudomonadati; Pseudomonadota. RNAcentral also lists the same sequence under 2 other names.
GCCAUCGUAGCUCAGUGGUAGAGCACUUCCUUGGUAAGGAAGAGGUCGCCGGUUCGAUCCCGGCCGAUGGCU